Molecule: ribosomal RNA, 480 nt
Filed under: uncultured bacterium
Lineage: Bacteria
Description: partial 16S ribosomal RNA
Rfam family: Bacterial small subunit ribosomal RNA
Source: RNAcentral
AUUGAACGCUGGCGGAAUGCUUUACACAUGCGAGUCGAACGGUAGAGGGGACAACCCCUUGCGAGUGGCGAACGGGGGAGUAAUAUAUCGGAACGUGCCCAGUCGUGGGGGAUAACGUAGCGAAAGUUACGCUAAUACCGCAUACGAUCUAAGGAUGAAAGCGGGGGAUCGCAAGACCUCGCGCGACUGGAGCGGCCGAUAUCAGAUUAGGUAGUUGUUAGGGUAAAGGCCUACCAAGCCAACGAUCUGUAGCUGGUCUGAGAGGACGACCAGCCACACUGGAACUGAGACACGGUCCAGACUCCUACGGGAGGCAGCAGUGGGGAAUUUUGGACAAUGGGCGAAAGCCUGAUCCAGCCAUUCCGCGUGCAGGAUGAAGGCCCUCGGGUUGUAAACUGCUUUUGUACAGAACGAAAAGGUUUCUAUUAAUACUAGGAGCUCAUGACGGUACUGUAAGAAUAAGCACCGGCUAACUACGUG